Molecule: ribosomal RNA, 461 nt
Filed under: uncultured bacterium
Lineage: Bacteria
Description: bacterial SSU rRNA
Rfam family: Bacterial small subunit ribosomal RNA
Source: RNAcentral
AUGAACGCUGGCGGCGUGCCUAAUACAUGCAAGUCGAACGGUGUAUAUGAGCAAUCGUAUACAUAGUGGCGAACGGGUGAGUAACGCGUUGGUGACCUGCCCCGAAGCGGGGGACAACAGCUCGAAAGGGCUGCUAAUACCCCAUACAGUUGCGAGAGAUUAGAAACUUGCAACGAAAGGAGUAAUCCACUUUGGGAGGGGCCUGCGUCCCAUCAGCUAGUUGGUAGGGUAACGGCCUACCAAGGCGUAGACGGGUAGGGGACCUGAGAGGGUGGCCCCCCACAAUGGAACUGAAACACGGUCCAUACACCUACGGGUGGCAGCAGUAGGGAAUAUUGCACCAUGGGCGAAAGCCUGAUGCAGCAACGCCGCGUGAGUGAAGAAGGCCUUCGGGUCGUAAAACUCUUUUCAAGGGAAAGAGGAAGGACGGUACCCUUGGAAUAAGCAUCGGCUAACUACGU